RNAcentral lists this ribosomal RNA (253 nucleotides) under uncultured bacterium. RNAcentral's name for it is "partial 16S ribosomal RNA". It matches the Rfam family "Bacterial small subunit ribosomal RNA", at positions 524 to 776 of the family's 1533-position model. The record is from RNAcentral.
UACGGGGGGGGCAAGCGUUGUUCGGAAUUACUGGGCGUAAAGGGCUCGUAGGCGGCCAGCUAAGUCGGACGUGAAAUCCCCAGGCUCAACCUGGGAAUUGCGUCCGAUACUGGAUGGCUUGAAUCCGGGAGAGGGAUGCAGAAUUCCAGGUGUAGCGGUGAAAUGCGUAGAUAUCUGGAGGAAUACCGGUGGCGAAGGCGGCAUCCUGGACCGGCAUUGACGCUGAGGAGCGAAAGCCAGGGGAGCAAACGGG